This 402-nucleotide ribosomal RNA is filed under the name uncultured bacterium. Its description in RNAcentral is "bacterial SSU rRNA". It matches the Rfam family "Bacterial small subunit ribosomal RNA", at positions 355 to 774 of the family's 1533-position model. The record is from RNAcentral.
UGGGGAAUAUUGGACAAUGGGGGAAACCCUGAUCCAGCAAUGCCGCGUGAGUGUAGAAGGCCUUAGGGUUGUAAAGCUCUUUCGCCCGCGAAGAUAAUGACGGUAGCGGGAGAAGAAGCCCCGGCUAACUCCGUACCAGCAGCCGCGGUAAUACGGAGGGGGCUAGCGUUGUUCGGAAUUACUGGGCGUAAAGCGUACGUAGGCGGAUGCGCAAGUUGGGGGUGAAAUCCCGGGGCUUAACCUCGGAAUUGCCCUCAAAACUGCACGUCUUGAGACCGAGAGAGGUAAGGGGAAUUCCUAGUGUAGAGGUGAAAUUCGUAGAUAUUAGGAAGAACACCAGUGGCGAAGGCGCCUUACUGGCUCGGUACUGACGCUGAGGUACGAAAGCGUGGGGAGCAAACA